GGCCUUAUUUAUUUUUUCAUUCAUAUGUUGUUCGAAAUUUAGUUUGUUAUCAAUGGUUACUCCUAUGUCUUUUUCUUUGUCAACAUGUUCUAGUGUGGUGUUACACAGGUUGUAUUUAUGGUUGUUAUCAUGUUGUUUCCCUGUUGUUAGGACUUUACAUUUAUCUGGGUGAAAUCUUAGCAACCAAGUAUUUGACCAAGAUUCUAGACAAUUUCCGGAUUUUGUUCAUUUCCGUUACCGGUAACCGUCGAUAAUUUCGUUUCAUGUAAAACUUCCUGUUUCAAAUUUUAGUUUUCAUAUUUCGUAGAGUAUUCUUACUGAAUGAUUAAGUCGAUAUAUUCUGCUGAUCUAUGAUGACAACAUCAUUUACCGAGAAUAGAGAGGGCGUGAAAUAUUCGGGUUACGAGUAAUACGCUGUGUCCAAGAACGCAAAUCGCCGUAGCGUAUGUCACAAAUGACACAAAUGUUUGUGAGUAAAACACCUUGGAUUUAUUUUAUUUAUGCAAUAACUUUGUGUCAAAAAAUUUGGACUGUGAAUGAAACCCAAAAGUGUUAGAAUCGUGGAACACAUUUGACCGGAAUAAAGAAAAUGACACAAGCAUGAACUUUUUAGAUUGGUGACCGUAUAUUGAGUUAAAAAAAAUCAACAAACAUACGCUUUUUUAAUUUAUUAAUUCAUAGCAAGCUCUUAGAUUUAGAUUUAGCUUUUAUAUUUAUAAUUUUGAGAAAGCGGAACCAGCAUAUGGAGUAUAUGUGUCUCAAUUGAUACGUUACUCUAGAGCUAGCUCAAAGUACGUUGAUUUUGUUGAAAGAGGAAUACUACUUUCUCAAAAGUUGCUAAGACAGGGCUAUGAAUCAAUCAAAUUAAGGUCAUCACUCAAGCAAUUUAAUGGUCGUCAUCAUGACCUGACUGGCCAUUAUGACAAAAGUGUGUCAGAAAUCAUGUCUCAGUGAUAUUCUUCCUCAGUAAUAACAACCUUUCAUCAUUACCGAACUGAACAAAGAAAUAACCCGACGUGUGCCGUAUACGGUGCAGGAAAUGCUUACCAUUCCGGAGCACCAGAUUUCACCCCUGGUUUUUAGUGGAGUUCGUGUUGUUUCCUACUUAUUAUUUGUAACUUGAUGUAAAUGUCUUUUGGUUUUAUGAGUCUUUGGUUACUCCUUGGUUUUGAUUGUUAUUGUCUGAUACACGAUACCUUAUGGAUGUAUUUACAUGAUAUAAGCUUAUUAUAACACUUGCAUAUAUAAAUAACAC
RNAcentral lists this long non-coding RNA (1255 nucleotides) under Mytilus galloprovincialis (Mediterranean mussel). The record is from RNAcentral. Lineage: Eukaryota; Metazoa; Mollusca; Bivalvia; Mytilida; Mytilidae.